RNAcentral lists this long non-coding RNA (1105 nucleotides) under Vulpes vulpes (red fox). Its description in RNAcentral is "lncRNA (ENSVVUG00000004197.1)". The record is from RNAcentral. Lineage: Eukaryota; Metazoa; Chordata; Mammalia; Carnivora; Canidae.
UUUGCCAGGGUUUAGGAUGCCCUGAGUUAGAUGACACCAUGCCCUUUCUGGGUCUGACACCCUUUUUUCUCUUUAAGGUCUAAAUUACACAAAAUUGAGGUGGGGACAGCAAAAGAGAAAAAAAUACCAUGAGUGAUAAUAAGAAAAAGAAACAAUGAAGAAAGAAGGGAUUAAGUGGAUUGCAGCAUUAUGCAGCAGGUUCAUUCAGGUUCCAUCCAGCAAAUCUGAAACUAAGACGUCUCCAUAUACAUCUGAAGGAGAACCUGCUGAAGGAGCCCUCUGUGGCCCAGUGCUGUCUGUGGCUGUUGCAGAAAAGAGAGGCUGGGGGAACACUGGGGCAAAAUCUGAAGAUCCCACACCUGGAGUUGCCCACUGUGUAUGGAGUUUAGUUUGGACACACACUGGGGGAAAUUGGUAUUACCUGGGGUCCCAGCACUGCUGUUGAUGCUAUGGAAUGAAGGGGGAAGCCACAGGGACACCUUGGAGGUCUGUGCUGGGCUGUAGCACUUUACAGUAACCCUCCAUGGUGAGGAGGCCCACUGGCCUGUUUGGGCUACACUCAAGCUGUCUUGGAUGCUUGGCAUUUGCAGGAAAAGUCCAGGGAGCCUGCAGGAGAAGCAGAAGCCCUGGAGGCCCUGGGAUCCUGGCAUGAUUAGGCUGUCUUUGCCCUUCUGCAUGGAGGCCUGGCAAAGAUUGGCUCUUUCCCAAAGUGGGGAAUUCCUGUUCUCAUUUGGGCUGGUAGGGAGAUUGCUGUUUGCACAGGGGUCAGGGGUGGUCUUCCUCUCUGGGCAGGAUAGGGGGCUUGUAAAUAUGAUUGGCUUGCUGUUUGCUUUUUGCCUUGUCUCCUGAUCCUCUCAAGAUUUGCCUGGCUCCUCUGCGUAUUAUUAGCAGUUGUUAUAGACUGCAUUGUCUGUCCACUGUCUCGCCACCCCACACCGAAGUCAUAGAAUGAAACUCUGCCAAUAUUUGGACAUAGAACCUUUAAAGAGAUGAUAAAAGUUAAGUUAGGUCAUACGGGUGAUGAUUUAAUGUGACUGGUAUCCUUAUACAAAGAGGAGAAACUAGGGAUAUAUAGGCACAGAGGAAGCCAGCAAGGAAGCCAAAA